Molecule: long non-coding RNA, 563 nt
Organism: Mesocricetus auratus (golden hamster)
Lineage: Eukaryota; Metazoa; Chordata; Mammalia; Rodentia; Cricetidae
Exons: 3
Source: RefSeq, a predicted model, not a curated record
CUGACUCUCCCUCCCCCAGAAGUCAUUAACUGUUAGAGGUCUUCAGUUAAGGUGGUAUCUCAUGCCCUUCUCUCGUUUCCAUGCUGGAAUGCUGACUGGCUUGAUCUUGUCUAGGUCUUAUGCAGGUGACAACAGCUACUAUGAGAUCAUGGGGGCCAACAGUCCUGUCCUGCACAGAAGAUACUGUUUCACUCCAGUCCUCCCCAACCUCUAUCUCUCUCCAGCUUUAAGCCCCCUCUUCUGUGAUAUUCUCUGAACACUGGCCAAGUUAUUCAAAACAAGUUCAUACUGUUUUCCAGCUCUCUUGUUCUUGAGAAGAACUUCCAAAUAGGAACUCAAAGUUAAGUUAGAUGACUAACAUCCUUAAUUCUUCUCCAGUCCUGGAUUCACAUGUAAGUCGGGGCCAUUUGUGAGCUUCUGAACUAACAAAGCAAAGUAACUCUCAAAGAUGUUGUGUUCAAAAUGGUAAUUGAAAAGCUUACAAAAGCACAAAAGACUCGAGGCUGGAGGAAACCCAGGCAUGGGAUGUAUCUCCAGGGCUGGCUUCAACACUGCCCCCCACA